AACGAACGCUGGCGGCAUGCCUAACACAUGCAAGUCGAACGAGACCUUCGGGUCUAGUGGCGCACGGGUGCGUAACGCGUGGGAACCUGCCCUUAGGUUCGGAAUAACUCCCCGAAAGGGGUGCUAAUACCGGAUAAUGUCUUCGGACCAAAGAUUUAUCGCCUUUGGAUGGGCCCGCGUUGGAUUAGCUAGUUGGUAGGGUAAAAGCCUACCAAGGCGACGAUCCAUAGCUGGUCUGAGAGGAUGAUCAUCCACACUGGGACUGAGACACGGCCCAGCCUCCUACGGGAGGCAGCAGUGGGGAAUAUUGGACAAUGGGAGAACGCCUGCUCCAGCAAUGCGGCGUGAGUGAUGAAGGCCUUAGGGUUGUAAAGCUCUUUUACCCGGGAUGAUAAUGACAGUACCGGGAGAAUAAGCUCCGGCUAACUCCGUG
RNAcentral lists this ribosomal RNA (433 nucleotides) under uncultured bacterium. Its description in RNAcentral is "partial 16S ribosomal RNA". It matches the Rfam family "Bacterial small subunit ribosomal RNA", at positions 29 to 507 of the family's 1533-position model. The record is from RNAcentral.